This 406-nucleotide ribosomal RNA is filed under the name uncultured bacterium. Its description in RNAcentral is "partial 16S ribosomal RNA". It matches the Rfam family "Bacterial small subunit ribosomal RNA", at positions 30 to 526 of the family's 1533-position model. The record is from RNAcentral.
AUUGAACGCUGGCGGCAGGCCUAACACAUGCAAGUCGAACGAGUGGCGGACGGGUGAGUAAUGUCUGGGAAACUGCCCGAUGGAGGGGGAUAACUACUGGAAACGGUAGCUAAUACCGCAUACCAUCGGAUGUGCCCAGAUGGGUUUGGCUAGUUUGUGGGGUAACGGCUCACCUAGGCGACGAUCCCUAGCUGGUCUGAGAGGAUGACAAGCCAAACUGGAACUGAGACACGGUCCAGACUCCUACGGUAGGCAGCAGUGGGGAAUAUUGCACAAGGGGCGCAAGCCUGAUGCAGCCAUGCCGCGUGUAUGAAGAAGGCCUUCGGGUUGUAAAGUACUUUCAGCGGGGAGGCGUUACCCGCAGAAGAAGCACCGGCUAACUCCGUGCCAGCCGCCGCGGUAAUAC